This 1112-nucleotide long non-coding RNA is filed under the name Cyanoderma ruficeps (rufous-capped babbler). Its description in RNAcentral is "lncRNA (ENSCRFG00000010895.1)". Lineage: Eukaryota; Metazoa; Chordata; Aves; Passeriformes; Timaliidae. The record is from RNAcentral.
CGUCGACCCCCGCCCGCGGCCCCGCCGCCUGCCGCCCGCCCCCACCGGGCCGCGGGCCGCCUCCUCCUCCCCGCAGCUGCUCUGGCUGCGGCUCGGGCGGGUUCUGCUCGGCUUGGGGGUCACCGUGUGGCCAGCAGGACUGGGGGAGUGAUUUUCCCACCCCGUACUCGGCAUUGGUUGGCCCAUCAGAGCCCACCCAGCGAGAAUCUGCUGUGGAAGGGCCAUACUUGGUCUGUAAAAUGAGAGCUGAGUGUCAGGAGGGGACUGCUGAGGACUCUUCUGUCUCAGAAGCACACUGCAGGCACAGUGGUUCACAAGGAAAAUCUACCGUUGAGGAAGGAAGAGGAGCCUCAUUUCCUGCAUCAGGGCUGGCCCACUGUUUGGAGUUUGAAAUGCAGCAAUUGGAAAAGCAAAUAGAAGUUUAGCACUGCCAUCGCCAGCAGAUCCCAACCGGUUGUAUGAGCUGCCAUGAUGUUUAGUGAGAAAGUGUGCUCUUUAUUUUCUAUUAAUGUCAGGAUCAAAAUGCCCUGGGGGAAAGUAACCUGCACUCUAAUACAACUGAACAGUCGCUGGCAAUUGUCUUAAGCACAUCUCAACUACAGAGUCAGAUCCUCUGCUCACACAAACUGGUGCCACCAUCUUGUCUGUCAUUUAGGCAUUAGAAGGAGCUGUAUUUGAUUUGCAAAAUCUUUAUUACAGAUGGUGAUGUAAUGCAGCUCUGUGCGGAGACAGUCAAACUACCUCCAGCAGCAGAAGUGGUUUAGCCAUGUGAGCCUUCACUUGGGGCUAAUCAAACCUGACAAGAAAGAGAGUGUUAUCGUGGGCAGAACACCCUGCUAAAAUAGAUAUAGUCUGCAUUAGUGCUCAGAUAAAAACAACGGCCUGCACUACACAGACAUGACUGGACAUGCCACACAUACAACUCUGACCCUACCGUGAGUUUGUGAGAGGUGACUGUCAGGAAAGAAAAACCACAAAGGCUUUUAUUUAUACUUACAGAACUAUUGGUGGAUCGAUUUAUCUACUGAUAAAUCACGAGAGAAUAAAUUCAUGAGAAAACAGCACCUUACUGGACAGUCAGAAGUGAACUCUGAGCUGUUCAGUGUUAUACA